UACAGAGGUCCCAAGCGUUGUUCGGAUUUAUUGGGCGUAAAGAGCUUGUAGGCGGUUUGUCGCGUCUGCCGUGAAAAUCCGGGGCUCAACCCCGGACUUGCGGUGGGUACGGGCAGACUAGAGUGUGGUAGGGGAGACUGGAAUUCCUGGUGUAGCGGUGAAAUGCGCAGAUAUCAGGAGGAACACCGAUGGCGAAGGCAGGUCUCUGGGCCACUACUGACGCUGAGAAGCGAAAGCGUGGGGAGCGAACAGG
RNAcentral lists this ribosomal RNA (253 nucleotides) under uncultured bacterium. Its description in RNAcentral is "partial 16S ribosomal RNA". It matches the Rfam family "Bacterial small subunit ribosomal RNA", at positions 524 to 776 of the family's 1533-position model. The record is from RNAcentral.